Molecule: ribosomal RNA, 406 nt
Filed under: uncultured bacterium
Lineage: Bacteria
Description: partial 16S ribosomal RNA
Rfam family: Bacterial small subunit ribosomal RNA
Source: RNAcentral
AUUGAACGCUGGCGGCAGGCUUAAAACAUGCAAGUCGAGCGAGCGGCGGACGGGUGAGUAAUGUCUGGGAAACUGCCUGAUGGAGGGGGAUAACUACUGGAACCGGUAGCUAAUACCGCAUACCAUCAGAUGUGCCCAGAUGGGAUUAGCUAGUAGGUGGGGUAAUGGCUCACCCAGGCGACGAUCCCUAGCUGGUCGGAGAGGAUGACCCGUCACACUGGAACUGAGACACGGUCCAUACUCCUACGGUAGGCAGCAGGGGGGAAUAAUGCACAAUGGGCGCAAGCCUGAUGCAGUCAUGCCGCGUGUGUGAAGAAGGCCGUCGGGUUGUAAAGCACUUUCAGCGAGGAGGCGUUACUCGCAGAAUAAGCACCGGCUAACGCCGUGCCAGCAGCCGCGGUAAUUC